Long non-coding RNA from Tyto alba (common barn owl), 517 nucleotides. RefSeq lists it as uncharacterized. Lineage: Eukaryota; Metazoa; Chordata; Aves; Strigiformes; Tytonidae. The transcript has 3 exons. The record is from RefSeq and is a predicted model, not a curated record.
GGGCGCCCGGCGGCCGCUGAGGGGGCUGAGCGCGGCGUUAAAUAGAACAUAAAACGCAGUAACUCGGCGCGUAGAAUCCCACCGGGGUUUCCAGUGACACAAAGGUAUACACUGGGACUGCUAGGCACACCACCAGUUCCUGAUGUGGCUGACUGAGGCCGACCUGCGGCCAGUGGAGGAGCCCACGCCAGAGCAGGCGGCUGCACCCAAAGAAGGCCGGGUCACUGUGGGAAGCUCCCGCUGUUGUAGUUCAGUGCUGGGAGGACGCAGGAAGGAACCACACCAGAGCAGCCUGGGAAACGCUGCAACCCGUGGGAAGGACUCAUGUCAGAGAAAGUUCGUGGUGAACUGUCUCCUGUGAGAGGGACAUCAUGCUGGAGCAGGGGAGAAUGUGAGGAGUCCCCCCCAGCCGCGAGGAGAAGUGGCAGGACCGACCGCACCCCCCAUCCCCUGCCCCCUGCGCCACUGCAGGGGAGAAGGUAGAGAGAUCCAGAGCAAAGCUGAGCCUGGGAAGAAG